GACGAACGCUGGCGGCGUGCCUAAUACAUGCCAGUAGAACGCUGAAGCGAGGAGCUUACUCUUCUUGGAUGAGUUGCGCACGGGUGAGUAACGCGUAGGUAACCUGCCUUGUAGCGGGGGAUAACUAUUGGAAACGAUAGCUAAUACCGCAUAGCAAUGGAUGACACAUGUCAUUUAUUUGAAAGGGGCAAUUGCUCCACUACAAGAUGGACCUGCGUUGUAUUAGCUAGUAGGUGAGGUAAUGGCUCACCUAGGCGACGAUACAUAGCCGACCUGAGAGGGUGAUCGGCCACACUGGGACGGAGACACGGCCCAGACUCCUACGGGAGGCAGCAGUAGGGAAUCUUCGGCAAUGGGGGCAACCCUGACCGAGCAACGCCGCGUGAGUGAAGAAGGUUUUCGGAUCGUAAAGCUCUGUUGUAAGUCAAGAACGGGUGUGAGAGUGGAAAGUUCACACUGUGACGGUAGCUUACCAGAAAGGGACGGCUAACUACGUG
This 497-nucleotide ribosomal RNA is filed under the name uncultured bacterium. RNAcentral's name for it is "partial 16S ribosomal RNA". It matches the Rfam family "Bacterial small subunit ribosomal RNA", at positions 28 to 507 of the family's 1533-position model. The record is from RNAcentral.